RNAcentral lists this ribosomal RNA (1296 nucleotides) under 'Celosia argentea' flat stem phytoplasma. Its description in RNAcentral is "bacterial SSU rRNA". It matches the Rfam family "Bacterial small subunit ribosomal RNA", at positions 181 to 1470 of the family's 1533-position model. Lineage: Bacteria; Bacillati; Mycoplasmatota; Mollicutes; Acholeplasmatales; Acholeplasmataceae. The record is from RNAcentral.
AUAAAAGGCAUCUUUUAUCUUUUAAAAGACCUAGUAAUAGGUAUGCUUUAGGAGGGGCUUGCGCCAUAUUAGUUAGUUGGUAGGGUAAUGGCCUACCAAGACGAUGAUGUGUAGCUGGACUGAGAGGUUGAACAGCCACAUUGGGACUGAGACACGGCCCAAACUCCUACGGGAGGCAGCAGUAGGGAAUUUUCGGCAAUGGAGGAAACUCUGACCGAGCAACGCCGCGUGAAUGACGAAGUACUUCGGUAUGUAAAGUUCUUUUAUCAAGGAAGAAAAGCAAAUGGCGAACCAUUUGUUUGCCGGUACUUGAUGAAUAAGCCCCGGCUAAUUAUGUGCCAGCAGCCGCGGUAAGACAUAAGGGGCAAGUGUUAUCCGGAAUUAUUGGGCGUAAAGGGUGCGUAGGCGGUCUAGUAAGUCAGUGGUGUAAUGGCAACGCUUAACGUUGUCCGGCUAUUGAAACUGCUAAACUUGAGUUAGAUAGAGGCGAGUGGAAUUCCAUGUGUAGCGGUAAAAUGCGUAAAUAUAUGGAGGAACACCAGAGGCGUAGGCGGCUCGCUGGGUCUUAACUGACGCUGAGGCACGAAAGCGUGGGGAGCAAACAGGAUUAGAUACCCUGGUAGUCCACGCCGUAAACGAUGAGUACUAAGUGUCGGGUUAAACCGGUACUGAAGUUAACACAUUAAGUACUCCGCCUGAGUAGUACGUACGCAAGUAUGAAACUUAAAGGAAUUGACGGGACUCCGCACAAGCGGUGGAUCAUGUUGUUUAAUUCGAAGAUACCCGAAAAACCUUACCAGGUCUUGACAUGUUUUUGCAAAAUGAUAGUAAUAUCGUGGAGGUUACCAGAAACACAGGUGGUGCAUGGUUGUCGUCAGCUCGUGUCGUGAGAUGUUAGGUUAAGUCCUAAAACGAGCGAAACCCUUAUCGUUAGUUGCCAGCACGUUAUGGUGGGGACUUUAACGAGACUGCCAAUGAUAAAUUGGAGGAAGGUGAGGAUCACGUCAAAUCAGCAUGCCCCUUAUGACCUGGGCUACAAACGUGAUACAAUGGCUGUUACAAAGGGUAGCUGAAACGCAAGUUCUUGGCCAAUCCCCAAAAACAGUCCCAGUCCGGAUUGAAGUCUGCAACUCGACUUCAUGAAGUUGGAAUCGCUAGUAAUCGCGAAUCAGCAUGUCGCGGUGAAUACGUUCUCGGGGUUUGUACACACCGCCCGUCAAACCACGAAAGUUGGCAAUACCCCAAAACGGUAGCCUAACUCGUUUAUUCGAGAGGGCGCCGUCUAAUGUAGGGUCG